CCUAGUAUAAAGUAGAUUUGUUAAUUUAGUAUUUUGGGAAAAUUAAUGAUUUUGGCGGUUAUUUUAUUAAUUAGAGGAGCUUGUUUGGUAAAGUGAGAAGUUAUUCUUUAUAUUUUAGUAAUUUUGGGUUUAUUCAUCUCUGUUAUAAAAUGAAUUUGGUUAUUUAAAAUUUAUUUGAUAUUUCAGGUCAAGAUGUAUCUUAAAUUGAAGUUAAGAAAAUUAGCUACAAUUAUGAAAUAGGAAUAAACGCUAAUGUGUUAAUAUUAUAAAAAGGAUUUAGGUUAUAAUAUUUUAUAUUUAUGAAAAUGUGGGGGUAAAUUGAAUUUAGGUGUAAUACUAGCUAGAAUGCUAGUAUGAAUUAAUAUAAUUAAUGAACUUAUUGCCCGUCACUUCUAUUAUUAAUAUAGGAUAAGUCGUAACAAAGUAAAUUUAAGGG
RNAcentral lists this ribosomal RNA (436 nucleotides) under Neogonyleptes sp. MZSP 73021. Its description in RNAcentral is "partial small subunit ribosomal RNA". The record is from RNAcentral. Lineage: Eukaryota; Metazoa; Arthropoda; Arachnida; Opiliones; Gonyleptidae.